Cucurbita pepo subsp. pepo (vegetable marrow) is the source of this 78-nucleotide non-coding RNA. NCBI's taxonomy places the organism in Eukaryota, Viridiplantae, Streptophyta, Magnoliopsida, Cucurbitales, Cucurbitaceae. The record is from the annotation of a RefSeq genome assembly.
GCUGGAAUAGCUUAGUUGGUUAAAGCAUGUGGCUGUUAACCACAAGGUCGGAGGUUCAAGCCAUCCUUCUUCCUAGCG